AGUCAAAUGUAAAAUUAUACCCCACUUUCAGUCAAAUGCAAAACCAACCUAAAAGGGUGGUAAAAGUACUAUUUAACCCUUAUGACCAAACAAAAAAAAUAAAUGUAUUUUACAUUUAUGUCCUUCGUAAGUCUACAUAUAACAGAAAGAAGUCUACAUACAUGUAGACUUCAUACGAACUCUACCUUGUAGAUUUAUUAUAUAGUCUACAUUUUAAUUUGAUCUAAUAAUUUAAUUUUAAAAAUGUAUAAAAAUAUUUGUUAUGAAAUUUUUAGUUAACCUUCAAUAUAAGGGUUAAUAUAAGGUUUAUAAAUUAAAAGUUUAUAUAAUUUAACAAUUUAAGAGAAUAUAUAUUGAUUUGGUAACCAUGUGUUAGAACAUUGGUUAUGGUAUAGCAACAAAAGGUUCUAACAUAUUAUGUCUAUAAGGGUUAGAUUCUUAGGGUUAGAUUUUAGAUUGAGAUUUUUUUAUUAAUUUAAAUUUGUAUAUUAGUGUUGAGUAGUUUAUAUUUUGCAAAUUUUGAUAUUUGAUACAAUAGAUAGGAUUUUUUUGAUUAUCAAGCAAAUAUUUAGGGUUUGAGAUUUGUGAUUUAGGGUUUCGUAGACUUACAAUAAAGUCUACUUCACUGUAGACGAUUUUUUCUGUCUAUGUUAAUCGGUUUUACAAAAAAUAUUAUUUUAAAAUUAAAUUUAGUUCUUUAUGAAUAAAAAUGUGAAAUCAUAUAUUAUAACUAUUAAAAAAAAUUUAGUAAAUCAUAUAUUAAAAUUAUUAAAACAAUAAACUAUUAAAAUAGUUAAGAACAAAAGAAAUUUAAAUCAUAUAUUAUACUUAAAUAUAAUAAAAGAUAAAUAUCAAAAAAUCAUAGUAGACUUAUUUACAAGUCUACCAAACCGAAAAUAAUUUAUGCUAACCAGACUUUAACCAAAAUAGUUUAAUUUAACCAAACUUAAACCAGGAAAAUUUUAACCUAACCGGAUCACGUACCCCACAUAUAAAUACACUUUCUUUUGUGAAAUUAGGUUAAAAUCACAAAACCUAGCGCCGUUGCUCUUUCUCUCAGACAAGGCGAUUUCCGGCACGAUUUUCGGCACAUUUCCAGCGGUCUUCAAGUAGUUUCCAUCACCGUCCUGUCGUCGCUGCAACAUCUUCCCUCUGACAUGAUCUGGUUGGUUUCACGGCGAGCAGUGCUUCUGGUCUCAGAUGUGGGAGAUGUUGAAAGUAUCCACCCCGAAGACAACUCAUCACAAUGAUCUUGUUAGCUUCUCAGCUCUUGGCAUGGCUCGGUCUUGACGUUUAAGAGAGAUUCUCCACUGGUUGUAGACAUGACAACAUCAAUCCUGAAACUCUGAGACGAGAAAAUUGCAAGACGGGUGGAAGCUUUGUAUCCGAGUAUGCAGACCAUGUAUAUAUACUUCUCAAAUGCAGCACAUGAAGGAUAUUGCUGGUACUUUGGCGGCAGAAGAUGCUGGCCAAGUGGCUAAGCUUCGAUCAGUUCUGGAGUCCGUUGACCACAAAAGAAGAAAGAUUUUACAACAAAUGAGAGGUGAUGCACAUUUGCUUAACUUGGAAGAAGGCAGUCCUCCUAUUCAACCCAAGUUCUUCAGCCCCAUUCAUCAUAAAAUGUGGAGGUAACACCAACUCAGAGCUAGUGAUCAAGGCUGAUGCACGCGUUCAAGAGCCCAAAGGGAGGUGAACUUGAAAGAGUUAUCCCAAGAGCUUCUGUUUUAGUAAAGCAUGAGCUACCAAGGCUCUACAAUUUGGCGCAUUGUGAUCUUAUAUAUUAUUUUCGGCGACUGGCCAAAUUUGGCGCAUUUAUGCUACCUUUGGGGUCCAUAUCCAUUGUCUGUAUGUAACUUCACUUUGUAUAUUGCUAUCAUUCACAGAUCAAUAAUUGUUUACUUUCACAGCCA
Long non-coding RNA from Brassica rapa (field mustard), 1910 nucleotides. RefSeq lists it as uncharacterized. The record is from RefSeq and is a predicted model, not a curated record. Lineage: Eukaryota; Viridiplantae; Streptophyta; Magnoliopsida; Brassicales; Brassicaceae.